This 1243-nucleotide ribosomal RNA is filed under the name metagenome. Its description in RNAcentral is "bacterial LSU rRNA". It matches the Rfam family "Bacterial large subunit ribosomal RNA", at positions 1564 to 2816 of the family's 2925-position model. The record is from RNAcentral.
UGAAUACGAGGCACUAAGGUGCUGAAGUAGUGUAUGUCAUACUUCCAAGAAAAGCUUGCACUAUCGUAAGAUAAAAAUGCCUGUACCAUAACCGACACAGGCGGGUAGGUAGAGUAUACUAAGGGGCGCGAGAUAACUCUCUCUAAGGAACUCGGCAAAAUAACUCCGUAACUUCGGGAGAAGGAGUGCCUUAUUCUAUAAGGUUGCAAUAACAAGAUCCAAGCAACUGUUUAUCAAAAACACAGGUCUCCGCUAAGUCGUAAGACGAUGUAUGGGGGCUGACGCCUGCCCAGUGCCAGAAGGUUAAAGAAGUCGGUUAGCAAUUGCGAAGCUGGUAACUGAAGCCCUGGUGAACGGCGGCCGUAACUAUAACGGUCCUAAGGUAGCGAAAUUCCUUGUCGGGUAAGUUCCGACCCGCACGAAAGGCGUAAUGAUUUGGAUACUGUCUCGGAGAGGGACUCGGUGAAAUAGACUUGUCUGUGAAGAUGCGGACUACCUGCACCAGGACAGAAAGACCCUAUGAAGCUUUACUGUAACUUGAAAUUGAAAUUGGACUUUAUUCGCGCAGUAUAGGUGGGAGGCGUUGAUUAUAAUCUUGUGGGAUUAUUGGAGCCAUUAGUGAGAUACCACUCUUGUAAUGUUAGAUUUCUAACUUUGAAUCAUGAUCUGGUCAAAGAACAGUUUCAGGCGGGCAGUUUGACUGGGGCGGUCGCCUCCUAAAUGGUAACGGAGGCGUACAAAGGUUUCCUCUGAACGGGUAGAAAUCGUAUCUAGAGUGUAAAGGCAUAAGGAAGCUUGACUGUGAGACCUACAAGUCGAGCAGGGACGAAAGUCGGUCUUAGUGAUCUGACGGUACUGAGUGGAAAGGCCGUCACUCAACGGAUAAAAGUUACUCUAGGAUAACAGGCUGAUCUCCCCCAAGAGUUCACAUCGACGGGGAGGUUUGGCACCUCGAUGUCGGCUCAUCGCAUCCUGGGGCGGUAGUACGUCCCAAGGGUUGGGCUGUUCGCCCAUGAAAGCGGUACGCGAGCUGGGUUCAGAACGUCGUGAGACAGUUCGGUCCAUAUCCGGUGUAGGCGUUAGAAUAUUGAGAGGAGCCUUCUUUAGUACGAGAGGACCGAGAAGGACAUACCUCUGGUGUACCAGUUAUCGUGCCAACGGUAAACGCUGGGUAGCUAUGUAUGGAGUGGAUAACCGCUGAAAGCAUCUAAGUGGGAAGCCCACCUCAAGAUAAGUAUUCUCA